AGCGAACGCUGGCGGCAUGCUUAACACAUGCAAGUCGAACGGGAAUCAGUAGACAGCAGGCUCGGCUGAAGAUCGCUUAUGAGAGUGGCGAGCGGUUGAGUAACGCCUGAGCAAACUGGGUAUGACAGUGGGAUAGCCUUGCGAAACCAGGACUAAUACCGCAUAAAAUCGUACAAACACCCGUUUUAACGGUCACAGGUGUAUCGGUCAUGGAGGGGUUCGCGUCUGAUUAGGUAGUAGGUGAGAUAACAGCCCACCACGGCGGCGAUCAGUAGCCGGUCUGAGAGGAAGAACAGCCACACUGGAACGGAGACACGGUCCAGACUCCUACGGGAGGCAGCAGUGGGGAAUAUUGCACAAUGGGGGAAACCCUGAUGCAGCGACGCCGCGUGAGCGAAGAAGGUAUUCGAAUCGUAAAGUUCUUUCAUAUGGGAAGAUAAUGACGGUACCAGAAGAAGAAGCCCCGGCUAACUUCGUG
This 478-nucleotide ribosomal RNA is filed under the name uncultured bacterium. RNAcentral's name for it is "partial 16S ribosomal RNA". It matches the Rfam family "Bacterial small subunit ribosomal RNA", at positions 29 to 507 of the family's 1533-position model. The record is from RNAcentral.